AAAUUGAAGAGUUUGAUCAUGGCUCAGAUUGAACGCUGGCGGCAGGCCUAACACAUGCAAGUCGAGCGGCAGCGGGAAGUAGUUUACUACUUUGCCGGCGAGCGGCGGACGGGUGAGUAAUGUCUGGGAAACUGCCUGAUGGAGGGGGAUAACUACUGGAAACGGUAGCUAAUACCGCAUAACGUCUUCGGACCAAAGUGGGGGACCUUCGGGCCUCACGCCAUCGGAUGUGCCCAGAUGGGAUUAGCUAGUAGGUGGGGUAAUGGCUCACCUAGGCGACGAUCCCU
This 287-nucleotide ribosomal RNA is filed under the name Yersinia enterocolitica subsp. palearctica YE-P4. RNAcentral's name for it is "partial 16S ribosomal RNA". It matches the Rfam family "Bacterial small subunit ribosomal RNA", at positions 1 to 284 of the family's 1533-position model. Lineage: Bacteria; Pseudomonadati; Pseudomonadota; Gammaproteobacteria; Enterobacterales; Yersiniaceae. The record is from RNAcentral.